This 93-nucleotide microRNA precursor is filed under the name Eubacterium pyruvativorans. RNAcentral's name for it is "microRNA mir-598". Lineage: Bacteria; Bacillati; Bacillota; Clostridia; Eubacteriales; Eubacteriaceae. The record is from RNAcentral.
UGAUGGUGAUGAUGCCCGUGCUCCUCAUGAUCAUGGUCAUCGUGAUCAUGGUCGUGAUGAUGCUCAUGAUCAUGAUCCUCAUGGUCAUGAUCG